Long non-coding RNA from Strigops habroptila (Kakapo), 117 nucleotides. RefSeq lists it as uncharacterized. Lineage: Eukaryota; Metazoa; Chordata; Aves; Psittaciformes; Psittacidae. The record is from RefSeq and is a predicted model, not a curated record. The transcript has 3 exons.
CAGUGGAGCUGGAGAAGGGUUGGAGCAUAAGUCUGAUGGGGAGCAGCUGAGGUAAUUGGGGUUGUUUAGCCUGGAGAAGAGAGGGCUCAGGGGUGACCUUAUCACUCUCUACAACUA